AUAAUUUGUAUAGAGACACGGUAGUGCCUCGUCGUGACGUAAGGGCUGAAUGGCGGCAAUUUAUGUUUGGCGCACGAGACACUACCGUAUCUCUUGAUUAUACGACUAUUCUAUUAAAUAACUUUUGGCAAGGAUUAUACAAAUAGUUCGUUAAUAUGUAUUUAAUUGUAACGAUUGCAAUAAGGAACAAUGGCAUGAAUACCAAAUAGCGAGAGCAUUCGAAUACUAUUAAAAUUAAGACGUAUGGACAAUAUGAGAUUUCCAAAUGUCAAUGUUCAACAUUAUGAAAAAGACGGCAAUAGUACAGAUAUGAUGAUGACUGAACAGCAACCACAACAGGGGCGAAGGCCAGUACGCAACAGACAAAAAAGAGAGCUAGGAACCCUCCAGUGCCAGGUCGUCCUCGAGAGAGACCUAUAUAACCUAGAGAAAAGGUGCGGUUGCACCGGCAGUAUAUCGUCCACCGGUUGCAAGAAACCUCUGUGUAAUAUGUUUAAGCUCUGAGGCUACAAUAGUUAUUUCACCGUGUGGACACAUUUGUGCAUGGCGACAAUAAGAAGAAUAAACCAACAUAGUGAUAAUUCAGAUGAUGAAAAUCAAGGACUGGAACGAUACAUGACAUGCAGAAAACAAAUAAUUACGACUAAUCGAGUAUUUUUUUAGUUUAUGAGUUCGAAAAGUUCAGGUUAAUUAUUCCAAUAUAAUACUUAAGUUAGGUAUGAUUGGAAAAAUUUUUACUAAAGUUAAUUAUAUUCAAGUUAGUUAAGAUUAAAACUAUAUUUGUUAUUUAAAGUGAAUUGAUUAAAAGUUAUUCGUUAUUAAAGAUAAGUCAACAACAAAAUAAUAGAGUGUUUAAU
Long non-coding RNA from Chelonus insularis, 857 nucleotides. RefSeq lists it as uncharacterized. The transcript is spliced from 3 exons. NCBI's taxonomy places the organism in Eukaryota, Metazoa, Arthropoda, Insecta, Hymenoptera, Braconidae. The record is from RefSeq and is a predicted model, not a curated record.